This is a long non-coding RNA of Seriola aureovittata, 2489 nucleotides long. RefSeq lists it as uncharacterized. The transcript has 2 exons. NCBI's taxonomy places the organism in Eukaryota, Metazoa, Chordata, Actinopteri, Carangiformes, Carangidae. The record is from RefSeq and is a predicted model, not a curated record.
UUUAUUGUUCUCAAAGAGUAGCCAAUUUAACAAGUUUCACCUUAGCUUUCCUACCUGUGCUCUUAUCCAAUGUGACCUGUACAUUCACAGAUGUCAUUCAUUUUUGAGGACAAAUCUAUUGUCUUAAGUCUAUGUCAAGUCUGUAUAAGCCCACAAUUUGCUGAUUUGCUCACUUUUUUAUAGGCUAGGACAAUGAAGACACGAUCCUUGAGGAACAAGACCAGGAGAUGUCAUCAAGUGGAUCAUCCAGAGAGCUCCUCUGAUUUAGAUCUAGCUCCCAGUGGCUCAAUGCAGGAAAACCAUGAAAAUAGAGGAGAGACAAUCAGCCAGUCAAGAUCAGCAACUCCUGAGAUGGGUAACACAGAGGUCCUGCAUCCACGACCUUCUGAUGAUGUUGGCAGUCAUACUCAACAGUCAACAAGAAGGCAUGGAUCUGAAGAUGACUGUUUAAAGUCUUUGCCAAAUCAAGAUGCAGACCAGUUGUUAAGUGAUGUCUCAGAUUCCCUUCUUGCUCCUGCCAUUCAACAAUCUCUUGAGGACUUUGAAGUGAACUUUGGACCCAUUGUUGGUGAUGAUAGUGAUAAUCAAGACACCACUCUUCCCUGGAAUCCACAUGACUUGAGCAGCAUGCAGGGACAAUGUAGAACUAACUUCUAACAGUACUGUAAAAUUAUUAGUGCCAUUGUCAAUUACUUUAAAUAGUUUUUCUUAUUCAUUGUUCUGUUAUAAAAUGUACAAAAUCUGUAACUUAUGUUUUUAAAUUCAUUUUUCAUCCAAACAUUCCAAAACUCAUUUCCAAUUUCAUGCAUCGUAGUAUGAAAUAAAAAAGUAGCAAAUCUAAAACCACAACAUUAUCACAAUUUUUUCAUGCUAAUUGAUAUAUUGAUUGUCAAAAUCUUUGAUUUUUUUCUGUUCACUAGUGAUUAAUCAAUCAAUAAUCACACCUAAUUACCUUUUUUAAAUAUCUUGCAGCAUUCUACAUUCAAUGAUGGACCGGUAUCAUCAAGCUGUCUUCCAGCAUCACCAGAUCCAUUUGACAAAGAAAUCCUCCAUGUGAAAUUAAGACGAGUAAACAUAGUUGAUGAUGUCCUUAAUGUUUUCAUGGAUCCAAAAGUACUGAAUGCUAAUCUAAAAAUGGAGUUUACGAAUGAAAAAGCUAUGGACAUUAAUGGUGUGUCAAGAGAGGCGUACUCCGCAUUCUGGGACCACUUCUUGGACCAGUGUGAGGGGGAAGAUGAACGAAUACCCAGACUACAACCAGACUAUUCUGAGAAGAAAUGGCAAGCUCUCGGAAGAGUGUGGUUGAAAGGAUACCUGGACCACAAAGUCCUACCAGUCAGACUGUCACCAGCCUUUGUUCUUACCUGUUGUCAAGGCGUUAGCUCAGUGGAUGAAGAACUCUUGAUGAUGUCAUUUUCCAGGUUUCUUUCAGAGAAUGAGCGUGCGUCGCUUGAAAAAGCACUACAGGGCAACAUUGAUGAAACUGUUGAGGAGGACUUACUUGAUGUCUUCUCAAGAAUGGGCUCACGCUGCCUGCCCCCAAAAAACAAUUAACGGGUUGCUAUUUUAACAAUGGCACACAAAGCUCUUCUGCAAGAGCCGAAGUUCAUAAUCGACUGCUUCCACUCCAGUGUUCACGAUGCUAUGCCAAAGCUCAUAACCAAAGACAACAUAAUGCAGCUCUAUGAAUCUAAGAGGCCAACUAACAAGAGAGUGGCCCAGAUGAUAAAACCAUCAACUGAAAGCCUAAAUCCACAAGAGCAGACUGCUCUUAACCACCUGCUACGGUAUGUGAGAAGCAUCGACCAAAGAAAACUGGAGAUCUUCUUACGCUUCUGCACAGGAUCUACUGUGCUGUGCAAUGACACAUUCGAAGUAACUUUUAAUGCAUUGUGUGGUUUAAGUCGCAGGCCUGUAGCACACACAUGUGGAGCAGUACUUGAGUUACCAUGCACCUACAGCUCAUACCCUGAGUUUCGUAAAGAAUUUGAUAAUGUCUUGUCUGGCAACUGCUUUACAAUCAUCCGUCUUCUACACUGAGAUUAUUAUGGCAUUUGUCUGAUGCAAAACUGUUUCUAUAGAUUUACAUUUAUUGUUCUUAUUAAAACAGAAACAGUUGACAUUUUUUUAUUUUUUUAAUUUUCUUAUUGGAAAUGAUUUUUCAGUAAUUUGUUAGUACAUACAGAAUUUUUUCCACAAGACAGUUAAAGUUUCAUAAUUUCGAUAAAUCAGCAGGGUCUGCCCUCACAGGUGAAUGUCCCUUUUUGUACAAUUAUUACAUUUUCAUGUGCAUCUUUUAUGCAAUUGUUAUUCUGAAUGAAGUUCAACAUUCAGCAUUUUUGUCAGCAUUCAACAAAGAAAUACCUGUUCAAUGCACAUACAGUACAAUUUCAAAUGGCUGUUUUUCUUUGAGCCUCAUGUGGCGAAUAUGCUGACAGUUAACUACGAAGAACAUAAUAUUCUAAAAUAAAAAUUCAGUUCCUCUUUCA